This 97-nucleotide signal recognition particle RNA is filed under the name Terasakiispira papahanaumokuakeensis. RNAcentral describes it as "Halomonadaceae bacterium PH27A Bacterial small signal recognition particle RNA". It matches the Rfam family "Bacterial small signal recognition particle RNA". From Rfam's summary of the family: The signal recognition particle (SRP) is a universally conserved ribonucleoprotein involved in the co-translational targeting of proteins to membranes. The record is from Rfam by way of RNAcentral. Lineage: Bacteria; Pseudomonadati; Pseudomonadota; Gammaproteobacteria; Oceanospirillales.
UGUCGGUCCUCCCGCAACACUAAAUCGUGAACCCCGCCAGGCCCGGAAGGGAGCAACGGUAGCGAUGGACGUGUGUGCCGGGAUGUGGCUGGCAGGG